RNAcentral lists this transfer RNA (64 nucleotides) under Neotoma lepida (desert woodrat). It matches the Rfam family "tRNA", at positions 5 to 66 of the family's 71-position model. From Rfam's summary of the family: Transfer RNA (tRNA) molecules are approximately 80 nucleotides in length. The record is from Rfam by way of RNAcentral. Lineage: Eukaryota; Metazoa; Chordata; Mammalia; Rodentia; Cricetidae.
AUGUGGCUCAGUUGGUAUAGUGUUUGCUUAGCAUGCAAAAAGCCCUGAGUUCAAUCCCCAGCAU